Molecule: ribosomal RNA, 497 nt
Filed under: uncultured bacterium
Lineage: Bacteria
Description: partial 16S ribosomal RNA
Rfam family: Bacterial small subunit ribosomal RNA
Source: RNAcentral
GAUGAACGCUGGCGGCGUGCCUAAUACAUGCAAGUCGAGCGAACAGACGAGGAGCUUGCUCCUCUGACGUUAGCGGCGGACGGGUGAGUAACACGUGGAUAACCUACCUUUAAGACUGGGAUAACUUCGGGAAACCGGAGCUAAUACCGGAUAAUAUAUUGAACCGCAUGGUUCAAUAGUGAAAGACGGUUUUGCUGUCACUUAUAGAUGGAUCCGCGCCGCAUUAGCUAGUUGGUAAGGUAACGGCUUACCAAGGCAACGAUGCGUAGCCGACCUGAGAGGGUGAUCGGCCACACUGGAACUGAGACACGGUCCAGACUCCUACGGGAGGCAGCAGUAGGGAAUCUUCCGCAAUGGGCGAAAGCCUGACGGAGCAACGCCGCGUGAGUGAUGAAGGUCCUCGGAUCGUAAAACUCUGUUAUUAGGGAAGAACAAAUGUGUAAGUAACUAUGCACGUCUUGACGGUACCUAAUCAGAAAGCCACGGCUAACUACGUG